This 496-nucleotide ribosomal RNA is filed under the name uncultured bacterium. RNAcentral's name for it is "bacterial SSU rRNA". It matches the Rfam family "Bacterial small subunit ribosomal RNA", at positions 8 to 526 of the family's 1533-position model. The record is from RNAcentral.
AGAGUUUGAUCAUGGCUCAGGACGAACGCUUGCGGCGUGCCUAAGAAAUGCAAGUCGAACGGACGGGGUAACCCGUUAGUGGCGAACGGUCGCGUAACACGUAAGAAACCUGCCCAAGAGUGGGGGACAACGACCCGAAAGGGUCGCUAAUACCGCAUACAGACGCGGGGCGGCAUCGCCUUGUGUUUAAAGCCUUUGUGCGCUUUUGGAUGGUCUUGCGGCCUAUCAGGUAGAUGGUGGGGUAACGGCCUACCAUGCCGACGACGGGUAGCUGGUCUGAGAGGACGAUCAGCCGGAUUGGGACUGAGAUACGGCCCAGACUCCUACGGGGGGCAGCAAUUAGGAAUCUUGCGCAAUGGACGAAAGUCUGACGCAGCGACGCCGCGUGAGGGAUGACGGCAUUCGUGUUGUAAACCUCUUUUGUCGGGGAAGAAAAAAAUGACGGUACCCGGCGAAUAAGCCCCGGCUAACUACGUGCCAGCCGCCGCGGUAAUUC